Long non-coding RNA from Gopherus evgoodei (Goodes thornscrub tortoise), 1829 nucleotides. RefSeq lists it as uncharacterized. The transcript is spliced from 3 exons. Lineage: Eukaryota; Metazoa; Chordata; Testudines; Testudinidae. The record is from RefSeq and is a predicted model, not a curated record.
AGCAUGCAAGGGAGAGGCGGCGAGGUACCGGGGGCGGGGGUUAAGUGCUGUAUCUGCAGAUGUAAAUGCUCAGGUGCGCUUCUGAGGGGGAAAUUUAGGCAGCUCUGCUUCCAGCUACACGCACGUUGCUAUCGAGGUAAUAGUUGCCCCUGAGGAAACUGUACAGGCAGUGACCCUGCACGGGGUAUGCGGUGUCGGUGGGCUAAGGGGAUACCUGUGCAGCAGUACUGGCUGUAGGGAGAAGGCUUAGAGGUGGGAGGAAGGGGUUGAUUGUGCUUGCUGCUUUCCUGGGUUUUGUGACUGGCCAGUAGCCUUUUUCCAGAAGAAGCUGGCACUUUAGCUCAAGAAAAAGGCAUUUGAGGAGUCCUAGAACUAUGACUUCACCCAGGAUUCUGCCCAAAUAGAAGCAUCUUGUCUUGAAAACUAAUAGAAGAUAAUACCUGUUUAAAGUAUCUUCAUCUCCACCACUUUGCUUCUGUAGCCAAACUUACCACCUGCUUUGUCUAGUCAAGCUUUAAAGAUCUUAUUUCCAUCUCUGCAACACCCUCUUGAGGAUGUAACUAGAUCAUUUCAUCUUAUUGCUGUUAGCUUUGUGAAUCUGCAUGUAGUUCAGUGUUCAGAGCUUUUUCAAACAGCAGUGGUCUGGAAUAAGAGCAGAAUUUUGCUAGCUUUUAUUGUUGUAUUCAGAAUCCCAUCCCAGCAGUGCAACUGAUCAGAACUAUGUCACUUUAACCCUGCUACUUGGAAAAAAUCCUGAGCGGCAGCAAAAGAAACUACUGGAGAGGGAAAUGGAGGAUAAACUAGUAGAACAACUUUAAGGUUAGGGGCUGGUAGAGAGAAUGCUCCUUUUGCAGGGGAAAUGUAUGGGGAGGGGGCUUCAAAACUGUCACACACCUACUAGCAAGCAGCUGACAAAAGAUGGAGCCCUUGAGUAGGGUAAAGGGACAACACCAUGUUCCAAACUAGCAGCAGGUGGAGAGUGAAAGCAAUUCUGAUUAUUUGUCAGUGGACAGUUCAAGACUUCAAAUUUGGCUAUGUGACAAAACAUGGUUGUCCCCGUUUUCAGGUUUCAGUCCUGUUCUUUCAGGGACAGCUCAUGCAUCUUCCCAGUUGACCAUGGGGGCUCCAUGCAGCGAAUGGUCUCCCACUUGGAGCACGCCUGAAUUGUUGGAUCCUGCUGGCACUGUGGGGAGAGAUGCCUGUGCAGUCACAGUCCUAGCUCUGCUUCAGCUGUAGGAACUUCAAUACCUAUGGUCAGAUAUCUCAUGGCUUAUUGGAUAAGAGUUACAAAUGGAACAUGCAUCAGUGCUGUGGAUUUGUGAAGCUUUUCUUUUCAUGCAAAACUUAAAUGGGGGGCCUAAGCUGCCUGACCAACUGAUCUAGGGUGACCAGACAGCAAGUAUGAAAAAUCAAGACAGGGGGUGGGGGGUAAUAGGAGCCUAUACAAGAGACUCAAAAAUCAGGACUGCCCCUAUAAAAUCGGGACAUCUGGUCACCCUAAACUGAUCUAACUGCAUGGCUUUUCUAUAGUUAGGCUGGCAAAGAUUACAUCUUUAUUGGUAAAUGUCAGUUUCACCAUCCACACACACUGACAGAAUUGCUAAUUGAAAUGUAAAGAGGCAAUGUAAGAAAAAUCCUGCUUGAGAACUUUAGAGUUUGAUUUAAGGAUAUAUACUUUGUAUAUUUUGGCAUGUGAUGUUGACAAUUUGUGUUUUAAUGGUUAUAUAGACUUUACUUUUUGAAUCUCAAUGCCUACUACCACUAAAUAAUAUCUGAUGCCCCCCAUUUCCUGCAGUUGUGAAAAUUUCAAUAAAAUGCUUAAACAUUAA